This 397-nucleotide ribosomal RNA is filed under the name uncultured bacterium. RNAcentral's name for it is "bacterial SSU rRNA". It matches the Rfam family "Bacterial small subunit ribosomal RNA", at positions 505 to 898 of the family's 1533-position model. The record is from RNAcentral.
GUGCCAGCAGCCGCGGUAACACGUAGGGGGCGAGCGUUGUCCGGAUUUAUUGGGCGUAAAGAGCUCGUAGGCGGCUUAGUAAGUCUGCUGUGAAAGCUCCAGGCUUAACCUGGAGAGGCCAGUGGAUACUGCUAUGGCUAGAGUCCGGUAGGGGAGCGUGGAAUUCCCAGUGUAGCGGUGGAAUGCGCAGAUAUUGGGAGGAACACCAGCGGCGAAGGCGGCGCUCUGGACCGGAACUGACGCUGAGGAGCGAAAGCAUGGGUAGCAAACAGGAUUAGAUACCCUGGUAGUCCAUGCCGUAAACGUUGGGCACUAGGUGUGGGAUCCCGUCAACGGAUUCCGUGCCGUAGCUAACGCAUUAAGUGCCCCGCCUGGGGAGUACGGCCGCAAGGCUAAA